RNAcentral lists this ribosomal RNA (254 nucleotides) under uncultured bacterium. RNAcentral's name for it is "partial 16S ribosomal RNA". It matches the Rfam family "Bacterial small subunit ribosomal RNA", at positions 524 to 776 of the family's 1533-position model. The record is from RNAcentral.
CACGUAGGGGGCGAGCGUUGUCCGGAUUUAUUGGGCGUAAAGAGCUCGUAGGCGGUUUCGUUAGUCGGGUGUGAAAACCCCAGGCUCAACCUGGGGACGGCACCCGAUACUGCGAUGACUAGAGUCCGGUAGGGGAGUGUGGAAUUCCUGGUGUAGCGGUGAAAUGCGCAGAUAUCGGGAGGAACACCAACGGCGAAGGCAGCACUCUGGGCCGGAACUGACGCUGAGGAGCGAAAGCGUGGGUAGCGAACAGG